GAUGAACGCUGGCGGCGUGCCUAAUACAUGCAAGUCGAGCGAACAGACGAGGAGCUUGCUCCUCUGACGUUAGCGGCGGACGGGUGAGUAACACGUGGAUAACCUACCUAUAAGACUGGGAUAACUUCGGGAAACCGGAGCUAAUACCGGAUAAUAUAUUGAACCGCAUGGUUCAAUAGUGAAAGACGGUUUUGCUGUCACUUAUAGAUGGAUCCGCGCCGCAUUAGCUAGUUGGUAAGGUAACGGCUUACCAAGGCAACGAUGCGUAGCCGACCUGAGAGGGUGAUCGGUCACACUGGAACUGAGACACGGUCCAGACUCCUACGGGAGGCAGCAGUAGGGAAUCUUCCGCAAUGGGCGAAAGCUUGACGGAGCAACGCCGCGUGAGUGAUGAAGGUCUUCGGAUCGUAAAACUCUGUUAUUAGGGAAGAACAAAUGUGUAAGUAACUAUGCACGUCUUGACGGUGCCUAAUCAGAAAGCCACGGCUAACUACGUG
RNAcentral lists this ribosomal RNA (497 nucleotides) under uncultured bacterium. RNAcentral's name for it is "partial 16S ribosomal RNA". It matches the Rfam family "Bacterial small subunit ribosomal RNA", at positions 28 to 507 of the family's 1533-position model. The record is from RNAcentral.